This is a long non-coding RNA of Neoarius graeffei (lesser salmon catfish), 3649 nucleotides long. RefSeq lists it as uncharacterized. The record is from RefSeq and is a predicted model, not a curated record. The transcript has 2 exons. NCBI's taxonomy places the organism in Eukaryota, Metazoa, Chordata, Actinopteri, Siluriformes, Ariidae.
AUAAACAAAAACACAAGCUUUCCUCUGAAACGGAAGUGAAAGGGAACUUUAAGGUGUUUGGGUGGAAGAAAUUGAUUAAUAAUGCCUUGAGGUGAGUGUGUUUCAGAGCUCUGUUCGAAGAACAUCAGAUAUCUUGUCUGUUAUUGAAUUAUUUGUGUGUGAGAGGGCUGUAAUGACCGGGGAAAGGCGCAGAGCCGCUCAAAGUGUUGAGGGGAGAUCUUAUAAAGAUGCUGCUGUCACUAAUUUACCCGCAGACUCCACUAAGACUCCACCUCCAAAUCUGAGAUUGCAGCAGCAGCUCAGUAAGUCCCUGGGAGAACUUUUGGCUCAGAGGCCGGAUGGUAUCAGUUUGAACGAAGCUCGCAGGUCCUGUCCUCUUCUUUUGGACCCUGAACUGCUGAAGGAUCAACCAUCUGUCCGGCACCUGCUCCUCUCCAUGCCAGCAGUGGUGUAUCUGAAAGGGUUUGGUGUUCAAACACGCCUCUUUCCUCCUCUGAAAAAUAUCUGAUGAAAGUUUUAAUUACUUUUAUGCCAAUGGUUUAACAUCAUAUCCUCACAAUGAGUGUUCUCAGGAAGUCCUAUAGAACUCAUAUUACAUAUUACUAUGUUAGUAAUAAAAGCCUUUCUGUAAUGCUAUUAUAGGAAAAUAAUCAAUGACAGGGUGGUGUGAUGAAGCAGAGUCACUGUUAUCAUGCUGAAAUUCAUUAUUUUCCUAUAACAGUGUGUCACGAGGUGUUUUAUUACUCUCAUAAUAGAGCAAAUUACCAGUCAUCUCUUUGUCGUCUGCAGUUUUCCACCCGUCUUCUAACAGGAAAAAGAAAAUGUGAUCACAACACAGGUACUAGCCUCCCUCCACUGGUAUCCUGUCCAUUUCAGGAUUGUUUUUAAGGUUUUAAAUGGGCUGGUGCCACCUUAACUUGACGAACUCCUGCAUCUUCAUACCCUGGUUAAAGCACUGAGGUCACUCAACCAGGUGUUCUUGGAUUUUCUGAGAUCCAGACACAAAAACAGGGGUGAUCGCGCCUUUGCGGUGGCUGCCCCUCAUCUUUGGAACAGCUUAAUUUUUCAUCUAAGAACUGCUCGGACUUUAGAAACUUUUAAGUCGCUGCUGAAGACCCACUUCUUCUCAUUGGCAUUUGAUUUGAGCUUCAGACCCUGACUUCAUCCUUUAUUGUGCUGAAAUUCUUUAUUCUUAUUAUUUAUUAGUUAUUGUGUUUAAUUAUGCUGUUUUAUGGUUAACUAUUUGAUUGUACAGCACUUUGGUCAACUUUUAUUGCUUUUAAAUGAGCUUUAUAUAUAAAUUUGACCUUGACAGCAUAUACUUUAUUCAUUUAUAGUUACAUUUAAUGUUGUGGAAGUUCAGCAAAACACGUUUUACAAGACUUACACUAUGUACCAGCAGAUACUUUUCACUGAACUCACGAGAAUGGAAAAUGGCUUAUUCUGAUAUUUUCAGUGUAAAUGAGAUGAUGAAUACUCAUCCCCACUAGCUCGCAUUCAUCAUUUUAGAAGGUGAGAUUAAUCCUCUUUCAGUACUGAUUAUAGCAUCACCUCACCGCUUUUCUACAUGAACUCCUCAAAGUUUAGAUUUGGAUGUUGAAACCUUUGUGUUUAGUAAAACGGAUUAGAAAAAAAAUCCACCUUUUGGUGAAGUCGCUUCAUCUCACACUGAAAAAAUGAGAAAAAUCCAACCUUUAAUCAAAAUAAAUGUAUUCAGAGUCAAACAAAUCCCUCAUCAAGAAAUAAUUAUUUUCAACAACAAAAAAACACGUGCCACUAUUAUUGGCACCCCUGGAAAUUAUCGUGAACACAAUGUAACUGAAGCAUGUUUCCCAUUUAAAUUGUACAUUUUUGAGCUGACUGGAGUGUGUAGGAACUUUCAAGUUGUAAUCCAUGACUUCCUGAUUAACUGGGGAACAAAUAUGAGGUGACACACAGAGGCCAAAUUCCCUUACCCUGUGUCCGAAAUCGCUCACUCGUUCACGACUCCCUAUAUAGGGAAUUACUAUAUAGAGGACUAUAUAGUGAGCUCAUUGGUAAAAUGAAAAAAAAAAGCUUUCAGACACUAGUCUGUCGCGCUGGUAUUUACGUCAUUACUGUUGCACAAUUAAAACGCCAUAUUAGCUGGCUGGUGGGUUUUCCAAAUAAUAAAUACAUGCAUGUAUUUUUGUGAUAAAUACAUAUUAUACUGAGUGCAUUUCCCACAUUAAUCAAUACAAAGUACCUGCAUCUUUCAGUUUUUUUUUUAAAUCAAGGCUGAAUGCUUUCUUCUUUGCCCCUGCCUUUUAGUCAAUCAAAUUUGAGACUUUUAAUUUGAUUUCUUUCAGCACGACUGCGAUGCAUGGUGGGAUAUAUUGCAUGGUUAAUGACUGUCGGUUGUACACUACUUUUCGUGAUGCAUUGUGGGAUACUUUGAGUCCACUAUAUAGGGUGUAAAUAAUCCUCACUAAGGUUUUGAACAGCACUACAAAAUGGCGUCCUCACUAUAUAGUGCCACUAUAUAGCAGGGAGCAAUUUUGGACACAGGGUUAAUCAUCCAUCAACAUGGGAAAGAUAAGAGAUCACAGAAACCAAAUAAGGGAUAUAAUGGAAACUUCUAAUAAACUCUUCAUAACACUUAGCAGUCGUCUUUUCAGUUAUUUAUUAUAGUAGAUCAUAUAACAGAUAUAUAACAUAGGAAAGAGAAGAAUAAAAGAAGACACCACUUCUGAUGAUGCCAAGAGUACGCGCACUCUGAGUUGUGUUUUAGUGGCUAUUAUCUAUUAUACUCUAAAGGCAUUCGCUUACUGCUUGCAUCUUCACGUGAUUGGCUCAAGAUUUUCUAUGAAGCUUUGUUAAAGCGUGCACCGGCGUGCUCUGGUAUGUGCAGGCGGAUGUGUAGUUAUGGAGAACUCAGGCACCCUGCUUAUCACCAGCCAAGGCCACAGAAAGGUGAUUACAACAUGGGAAAAACAUCUUUCUCAGUACACUAAGCUACUUUAACUCAACAUACAGAAACACAGAGAAUAAUAAUGUUCGUCCAUUAAAUUUCCCUCACAGGGAGGAGUAUGUUGAUCUUCCUAAGUCAGGGAAUGGUUAUAAAAAAAAUAGCUGCUCUCCUGAGCUCCUUGGACUUUCCCAUUGUACUCUGUGUUGGUCAAUCCAGUGAGUGCUGUCCAACAAACCCUUUUGAUGUUGGCAUGGAGGAGCUACCAGCUGUGUAGUAGUCAAUCAUGAUCAUGAAUGGGAAGUUAAGAGGCCUCGGCAAGUUAAAAGAUAUUUUGGAACUUUCAGCAUCACUGAAUUAAUAAUCUAAGUGGGUGUAAAUUUUUGAACCUGUAUGUAUAAUUUUGACCCUGUGUUGAUUUCAAAAAACCCAAAAUAAGUUCAAACGUGCACCAAAUUCUUGUUUUCUUUUCUCUUAAAGAUGUAUGUUGUACAAUUAUUCUUCCUCAGAAAAAAGAACAAUGCAAAGAACUCACUGAAAGCCCAGUAUUACCAUGACGUUCAUGUCCAUGAUGACAUUCAUGACACUCUAUGUAAACAAACUGUUACUGCAUAUAUACGCCAGUAUUCAAGGUGUUUACACAAAGAUGUGGUCAGAAAUGUACAUUUAAUUUGUAUUUAACUUUUAAAAAUGAAUCCCAAUUAAAAUACCAAUAUAGACUGA